UCUCGAUUGGUCUAGUGGUAAGGAUACCUGCUUGUCACUGGUGUUGUGUCUAGUGUUCUCACUAGUUCGCCACAAUCAAAUCGCAGGUGGCCGGGGUUCGAUUCCCCGAUCGAGAG
This is a non-coding RNA of Xylaria palmicola, 116 nucleotides long. The record is from the annotation of a GenBank genome assembly. NCBI's taxonomy places the organism in Eukaryota, Fungi, Ascomycota, Sordariomycetes, Xylariales, Xylariaceae.